AAUGAACGUUGGCGGCGUGGAUUAGGCAUGCAAGUCGAACGCUUUAUGUAGCAAUACAUGAAGAGUGGCGUAAGGGAGAGUAAUACACAGUUAGCUACCCUUGGGUCUGGGAUAGCGGCGGGAAACUGCCAGUAAUACCAGAUGAUGUCUUCGGACCAAAGGUGUAAUUUCGCCCGAGGAGGUGACUGUGUCCUAUCAGCUAGUUGGCGGGGUAACGCCCACCAAGGCUAAGACGGGUAUGGGGCGUGAGAGCGUGCCCCCAUCACUGGGACUGAGAUACUGCCCAGACACCUACGGGUGGCUGCAGUCGAGAAUCUUCGGCAAUGGGCGCAAGCCUGACCGAGCGACGCG
RNAcentral lists this ribosomal RNA (351 nucleotides) under uncultured bacterium. RNAcentral describes it as "bacterial SSU rRNA". It matches the Rfam family "Bacterial small subunit ribosomal RNA", at positions 29 to 398 of the family's 1533-position model. The record is from RNAcentral.